UGCAGUCGAACGAGCUUCCGUUGAAUGACGUGCUUGCACUGAUUUCAACAAUGAAGCGAGUGGCGAACUGGUGAGUAACACGUGGGAAAUCUGCCCAGAAGCAGGGGAUAACACUUGGAAACAGGUGCUAAUACCGUAUAACAACAAAAUCCGCAUGGAUUUUGUUUGAAAGGUGGCUUCGGCUAUCACUUCUGGAUGAUCCCGCGGCGUAUUAGUUAGUUGGUGAGGUAAAGGCCCACCAAGACGAUGAUACGUAGCCGACCUGAGAGGGUAAUCGGCCACAUUGGGACUGAGACACGGCCCAAACUCCUACGGGAGGCAGCAGUAGGGAAUCUUCCACAAUGGACGAAAGUCUGAUGGAGCAAUGCCGCGUGAGUGAAGAAGGGUUUCGGCUCGUAAAACUCUGUUGUUAAAGAAGAACACCUUUGAGAGUAACUGUUCAAGGGUUGACGGUAUUUAACCAGAAAGCCACGGCUAACUACGUGCCAGCAGCCGCGGUAAUACGUAGGUGGCAAGCGUUGUCCGGAUUUAUUGGGCGUAAAGCGAGCGCAGGCGGUUUUUUAAGUCUGAUGUGAAAGCCUUCGGCUUAACCGGAGAAGUGCAUCGGAAACUGGGAGACUUGAGUGCAGAAGAGGACAGUGGAACUCCAUGUGUAGCGGUGGAAUGCGUAGAUAUAUGGAAGAACACCAGUGGCGAAGGCGGCUGUCUAGUCUGUAACUGACGCUGAGGCUCGAAAGCAUGGGUAGCGAACAGGAUUAGAUACCCUGGUAGUCCAUGCCGUAAACGAUGAGUGCUAAGUGGUUGGAAGGGUUUCCGCCCUUCAGUGCUGCAGCUAACGCAUUAAGCACUCCGCCCGGGGGAGUACGACCGCAAGGUUGAAACUCAAAGGAAUUGACGGGGGCCCGCACAAGCGGUGGAGCAUGUGGUUUAAUUCGAAGCUACGCGAAGAACCUUACCAGGUCUUGACAUCUUCUGCCAAUCUUAGGAGAUAAGACGUUCCCUUCGGGGACAGAAUGACAGGUGGUGCAUGGUUGUCGUCAGCUCGUGUCGUGAGAUGUUUGGGUUAAGU
RNAcentral lists this ribosomal RNA (1069 nucleotides) under Levilactobacillus sp. NCCP-2574. RNAcentral's name for it is "bacterial SSU rRNA". It matches the Rfam family "Bacterial small subunit ribosomal RNA", at positions 56 to 1085 of the family's 1533-position model. The record is from RNAcentral. Lineage: Bacteria; Bacillati; Bacillota; Bacilli; Lactobacillales; Lactobacillaceae.